RNAcentral lists this long non-coding RNA (1427 nucleotides) under Geospiza fortis (medium ground-finch). RNAcentral's name for it is "lncRNA (ENSGFOG00000003066.1)". The record is from RNAcentral. Lineage: Eukaryota; Metazoa; Chordata; Aves; Passeriformes; Thraupidae.
AAAGGAAAGGAAAGGAAAGGGGCGGAAAGGAAAGGAAAGGAAAGGAAAGGAAAGGAAAGGAAAGGAAAGGAAAGGAAAGGAAAGGAAAGGAAAGGAAAGGAAAGGAAAGGAAAGGAAAGGAAAGGAGAGGAAAGGGAGGAGAGGAAAGGGAAAGGAGGAAGGAAAGGAAAGGAAAGGAAAGGAAAGGAAAGGAAAGGAAAGGAAAGGAAAGGAAAGGAAAGGAAAGGAAAGGAAAGGAAAGGAAAGGAAAGGAAAGGAAAGGGAGGAGAGGAAAGGGAAAGGAGGAAGGAAAGGAAAGGAGGAAGGAAAGGAAGGAAGGAGCAAGCUCUGGUACCUGCUGGCAUUUUGGACACAGUCUCCUGAGUGGGAGCUGGGGUGUCCUGAGGUGUGUUUAUGUGGAAAUUGGGAGCUGUGGCCUCCUAGGGUGUGUUUAUGUGGGUACUGUGGGGUCCUGGGGUGUGUUUAUGUGGAAAUUGGGAGCUGUGGCCUCCUAGGGUGUGUUUAUGUGGGUACUGUGGGGUCCUGGGCUGUGUUUGUGCCCUGCCAGGUGGGUGAGCCGUGCCUGCCCAAAGCUCUGCAGGUUCCAGUCUCAGCCCCAUGGGGCUGUGCACCCAGCCAGGCUCCAGCAGCUGACUCUGCUGGGGGAUGUUUCUGUGUCCUUACCCCCGGUGCCCUUUUGUUUCCUCCUCAGUUGACUUUUUGGUGUCCAGUGUGUUUUGUAACCCGUCCUUUGGCCCUGGAGUUGGCAGCAGAGCAGUUCCAUGUGUGGCUGCCUGUGCUGGCCCCAUUUGGGGGCAGGGAUGUGAUGUCCAGGGGACUCUGGGGACAUCCCACAGUCCCACACUCUAACAUUCAAUAAGUUUAUAUAAUUGCUAAUAAUGGGAGAAUUUAGCCUCUGAGUUUCAGAUGCUUAUUUAAAUUUUCUCUGAUUAAAACACUUGAAACAAACCCCUCUCUUCAUUAGACUUUAUGGCAUUCAGCAACUUCAAGAACAAAAUGCUUCCCCCUCCAUUCUUCGCAGAUUUCCUGGGUAAAUUGCUGGAUAAAAUGAUAUUUAGUGUGCCUCAAGGGUUUCUAGAAUUAAGAACCUGGUAGCUGCUUAAAAGUAAAACUGUGCAGGAGUGAGCAGGGCUGGGCAGCUCUCUGGGGCUCAGCUGCUCUCCUUGCCAGCCCCUCCUGAGCGAGUGCCCUCAGAGCAGACCUGUCCUGUCUGCAAAACCGAAGGUGAACUCUGGGACAAAGUGACAAUCUCCACUGGAGCCUCAGUUCCUCCCCGGCUGCUUUCUCAGUGUGGUUGCUGUGGAUGCUCGUGGCCAGGGAUGCUGGAGGGCUCACAGAGAGCCAGCAGCACUUUGUGAGCCCCCUCCACAUUCAGGACCCCCCUCCCCUGCGCUGGCUCCUUCCACUGCCCCCAAGCCCCAAAAAGC